RNAcentral lists this long non-coding RNA (490 nucleotides) under Homo sapiens (human). RNAcentral's name for it is "HSALNT0011911". The record is from RNAcentral. Lineage: Eukaryota; Metazoa; Chordata; Mammalia; Primates; Hominidae.
AGUCUUCCAAAGCACUAAAGUCAUGAAAGACGGUGUGAGGAGCUAUUCCAGAUCAAAAGAGGUUAAAAAAUAAAUGCAACACUUAUUUUUGAACUGGAUCUUUUUGGUAUAAGGAAUAUUUGAUAGGAUGGAGGGUAGUUGGCAAAACUUGAAUGGGGUUUGAGGAUUAGAUGUUUGCAAUAUAUUUUUCUAUUAAUAGUUUUUUAUUUCUGUAUAUGUGGUCCACUCUCAGCCUAGUGGCAGAAAGCCAUAAUGACUUCAUAAUGCUCAUAAAUCCUGUGGGUUAAGAAAUUGAAAAGGACUCAGUGGAAAUAAUCUGAUUCUGUUCCAUGAUACUGGGGGCUUCAGCUGAAAAAGCUUGCGGGCUGAAAGCAGGAAUCCUCUGAAGGCUUGCGAAGUCAAAACCACACAUUUGAUAGCAGGAGGAUGAAACUCACUUUGUAAUAAGAGCAUGCAAGACAGAAGGGAGAUUGAGUUGCAGUUGUUUUUA